UAGCUCAGUUGGUAAAGAAUCUGCCUGCAAUGCAGGAGACUCAGGUUCAAUUCCUGG
Ovis aries (sheep) is the source of this 57-nucleotide transfer RNA. It matches the Rfam family "tRNA", at positions 8 to 63 of the family's 71-position model. From Rfam's summary of the family: Transfer RNA (tRNA) molecules are approximately 80 nucleotides in length. Their secondary structure includes four short double-helical elements and three loops (D, anti-codon, and T loops). The record is from Rfam. Lineage: Eukaryota; Metazoa; Chordata; Mammalia; Artiodactyla; Bovidae.